RNAcentral lists this ribosomal RNA (90 nucleotides) under uncultured bacterium. RNAcentral's name for it is "partial 16S ribosomal RNA". It matches the Rfam family "Bacterial small subunit ribosomal RNA", at positions 1393 to 1482 of the family's 1533-position model. The record is from RNAcentral.
CCCGUCACACCAUGGAAGUGUAUUGCACCAGAAGCAGGUAGCCUGACCGCAAGGAGGGCGCCUACCACGGUGCGAUUCAUGACUGGGGUG